This is a long non-coding RNA of Anthonomus grandis grandis, 4660 nucleotides long. RefSeq lists it as uncharacterized. The record is from RefSeq and is a predicted model, not a curated record. Lineage: Eukaryota; Metazoa; Arthropoda; Insecta; Coleoptera; Curculionidae. The transcript has 3 exons.
AGUGCAACAGAAGAAUCCAUUUGAGUAUAGGAACCCAUGUCCGGAAAUGCGUCACUACGCCACUACGGCCCUAAGACGCGCUAAAAUUUAUAAAAAACAUUAAUUACCUAAAUAGGAUCUGCUGCAUUUAUUUUUACCUUUUGUACAUGAUACCAUAACAGCAAUUGUUUAAAAUCAACGCUUAUCAAUGUCAAUUCUCAAUGUCAUGUUUAAAAAUUUUAUAGCUUACAAUUUUUAAACAUUUAUUGCUAAUGGAAAGCUUUACUAAUCAAGAAUUGGCGGAUAUGCAUUUAGCAUACGGAGCAACAAACUGCAAUGCACGAGCAGCAUCGCGGUUGUAUCAUGAACGUUAUCCCGAACGACAGCAUCCUGGAUACAAAAAGUUUAUUGCGGUUCAUCGGCGGCUCGCUGAGACAGGCAUGUUUAAGACCAAGAUGCAUGAUACUGGUGUUACUCGAACCGUAAGAACGGAAUUUGAAGAAGAAGAGGUGCUUCAGCGAGUUGCCGAUGAAUCAUCAAAUAGCACAUGUGACGUCGCUAAAAAUAUGAAUACGAGUAACGCUUCUGUCUGGCGGGUACUACACGAGCAACAACUCCAUCCUUGCCACUUUCAAGAAAGUUUAAGGUAUGACUGUCGAUUAUCAUCCUAGCCGAUUAUCAUCCUAGAGUUCAAUUUUCUCGAUGGCUUCUGGAUCACAUCAUUGCACAACCAAAUUUUUUACGAUAUGUUUUGUGGACCGAUGAAGCCUCUUUCACAAGAGACGGUAUUUUUAAUAGUAGGAAUAGCCAUGUUUGGGACGAAGAAAAUCCCUAUGCAAUUUUUCCAAGAAAACAUCAGAAUCGUUGGUCUGUCAACGUAUAUGGCAUUGUUGAUGAUUAUUUAAUUGGGCCAUACCUUCUACAGGAACGGUUAACAGGACCUAUUUAUCUGCGUUUCUUGGAGGAAGUUCUCCCAGAACUCCUUGAAAAUGUUCCACUAAACGUUAGACAGCAAAUGUGGUUUCAGCAUGAUGGAGCGCCGGCUCACUUUGCUGUACAAGUACGUGAGUAUUUGGCUCAGCGGUUUGGGCACCGUUGGAUUGCCAGAGGUGGAGCAGUUUCUUGGCCUCCUGAGUCACCCGAUUUAUCGCUCGAUUGACCGUCGCUCGAUUUUUUCUUGUGGGGACAUGUAAAGUUUUUAGUCUACGAAACUCCAGUAGAAUCAGAGCUAGACUUAAUUGGACGAAUAACAGCAGCAUUUGAAAUCAUUAAAAACGAGGAUCAAAUUUUUAGUGUAGUCCGCCGAAAUCAUGUGCGACGUUUAAAUCGGUGUAUUGAGGUUGGAGGAAGACAUUUUGAACAAUUGUUGUGACGGUAUCAUAUACAAAAGGGCCGUAGUAGCGUAGUGACACAUUUCCGGACAUGGGUUCCUAUAUUCAAAUGGAUUCUACUGUUGCACUGAAUAACCCCUAGAAGAUCCCAUAACAUGAAACACCCUGUAUAAUUAAAAUAUGAAAUAUCUAGAAGAUAUGUGAUGCAUUUUUCACUAGCGAUUAAACGCUAACCGUUGAAUGAAGAAGUCACGAAUUAAAAAACACAGUAAAAAACAAUUAUAAACAAAGUUAAAGACAUCUUACUUGAAAAUGGUAUGGUGGUUAAUUCUUAUGCUGACGAUACUGUGGGUGAAACUUGAGAAGAGGUGCGUGAAAAAACCAAAAAUUGGCUCUUUCAAACUUACAGUAAAUGUUGACAAAACCAACUACAUAGCUUUCUCCCUAACAAAUGCCAAUCGUCCUAAUUUUAAUAGCAUCCGGGUAAAAGGAUUUGAGAAUGAAAUAAGGGGUGUACAAUUUACUAAAUAUUUAGGAGUAAUCAUCAACCAGAACCUCGAAUGAAAACAACAUGUGUUAAGAUUAACUAAUAAUAUUAGAAAAUUAAUUCAGAAAUUUUAUAUGAUUAGGGAAAUUCUAAACGAACAACUUUUAAUAUGUGUUUAUAAAGCUCCUGUAGAGUCUUUACUGAGAUUCUUAUCUUAAGUUCUUACGAAAAUGCAUUAAAAUCUCUAAAGACAAUCCAAAAUUAUAUUCUUAAAAUUAUUUGUUUAUUUGUAGAAGGAUAAAGUGUUUCCAACAUACCUACUUUACAGUGAAAGAAUAUUGCCAAUUCAAUUUUUAUAUAUUUUAAGUGUUUGUUCUUUUAUAUACGAAAACCCUGAAAUAGGUGUACAUGUUAGUCAUUCUUACUCUACCAGGUUUAAUGUUGAAGGAAACUUACAGAUUUCCAACAGUACUUCGAACCUAAACCUUAGAUCAUUUCACUACCUUAGUGUAAAAAUAGGGUAAAGCAAGGAGAGAUGGCACAGCAGGAGAGAUGGAUCAUUAGCAUAUUUUACAUACUGUGGCAACAAUGGCCAAUUUGAUAAAGUAUACGCACCGACAUUCGACAUCCACAGUUUCUUAGUCCAUGUGCUCCAUGAUUUAUCGUUGUAUUUAGUAGUUACAAGUGAUCAUUGUUUUCAAACAACCAAACAAUUUGUUUGGUUGUUUCAGUUGAAACAAUUAAACAAAUUGUUUAAAAAAAAACAAUUUUGCAAGGUGUAUUUUGGUCACUGAACAAAGCAUUUUCAGGUGAGUUUUAGCUGAAUAUUUUAUAAUGUAAUCAUCAAACGGGUUUUCUGGCGUAAACCUAACCUAAAAACAAUAGUCCAUAACGUUCCGUUUAAUAGAAAUAGUCUGGUCCAUCUCUCCAAUAAUUUUAGGAAAUUUGCGAGGAGAGAUGGACUAAUGUUUUAAUGUUACAGAAAGAUGCCUAACGAGUACACUCGAAAGAGAAACGUAGCAAGGGCUACUUGGAGCGCUGAUGGUUUACAUCUAGCUAUAAAUGCGGUAAUCAUCCAAUGUAAUGAGUUUAAAUAAAGCAGCUAGGUCUUAUAAUAUACCCAAAACCACAUUAAGACGCAUAAUAGCUACGAAUAACUUAGAGAAAACGGAACAGCUGGAGAAAAAGCUGUCCAAACAUAUUAAGAAACUACAAAAACACGGCUUUGCGCUUACAAGAACUGAGGUGACCAUAACGGCGUUUAAUCUUGUUGUUUUCGUUGCAGAAUUACUUAGAGUUAGGCAUAAAUUUUAAGGCCGGCAAAAGCUGGCAGAGAAUCAUCGCAGUCAAUUUCUACGAAGAAAUCCAGACAUUAGCGUGCGCAAAACAUCUUUGUAGCAAGGGUUAUAGGAUUGUCGAGAGAAACUAUGCGUAAAUACUUUGCAUUACUGCAGACGGUUCUUACCAAAAAUGGAUUAUUCAAUAAACCUGGCCACAUUUAUAAUACUGACAAGACUGGGCUCCAACUCAAUACCAGAGCCGAACAAGUGCUUUCAGCAACGGGAUCAAAAAGUGUACCAUCCAUUAUCUCUGGUGAAAAUGGCGAAACCAUUAGUGUUAUAGCUUGUUGCAAUGCAGAAGGGGUGUAUUUUCGCCCUUUUUGUAUUUUCAAGGGAAAGAACAAACAAAAUGAAUGGGCAGAAGGAAUGUCACCAGGAUCUGAAAUAUGCAUGUCUGAGAAGUCAGCCUACGUCAACUCAAAAAUAUUUCUUCAGUAGUUAACACAACAUUUUUUUCCGGGAAAGCCACCAGGAAAAGUUUUAGUGCUGUUGGAUGGGCACACUUCCCACGCUACAAACAUCGAUGCCUUAGAAUUUUCGACAAAAAAUGAAAUAAUUUUAUUUGGUCUACCUCUGCACUGCACCCAUUACCUUCCACCCCUUGGUCGAGCCUUUUUUAAGAGUCUCCAAGGAUUCUAUUAUGAAACAUGUCGACGCACAGUGAUGGCCCAUCCAAAUAAAAAGCUGAACCGGCUGCAAUUUGGUAAAAUCCUGGGAGAAUCUUGGGGCAAAGCCGCUACCGUGUGAAUAACGCAGAAUCGGCUUUCAAAGCAACAGGCAUAUCACCACUCAAUUCAGAGAUUAUACCGGACUACUACUUAGUGCAGCAAAUAAUAGACCCGGUUCAUCAGAAUACUGUGGAACAGAUUAAGCCAAUGCCAGUUUUCUCCUCAACCCCAACCAGGAUGCUCACAAAUUCACCGCAAUACUAACAACACAAAACCAGGUCCUCCAGCCAAGUCGAAAAUAACGCCUGGAAAAACUCUUGACCAGGUGUCUCCAGUACCCAAAUUUACGCCAGCUAUGAGAAAGGUCCCAACCAAUCUGGGAGGAGUUUUAUCUUCACCGGCGUACAUCAGAAAUAGAAAAGGGGCAGAAGAAAAGAAGCGUAAAGUGCCAGAGUCAACCAGAAAGUCAAAGAUACCAAAGAAGCCUAAACGGUUGAAAAUUCGUGAAAAAAACACAGUAUGCAAUGAAGAUUAUCGACAAACGAAGAAGAAGGACAACUGGAUCAAGUGCGUUCUCUGUUCAAGAUGGCUGCACGAUAGUGGCACGUCUUAUAGCAACGUUUGUCAAAAUUGUGGUCAGUGCUACAAAAAAAGUAUGUAAAGUAUGUUUUGUAAAACGUGUGCCGUCUCUCCUCGCUUUACCCUAUACAUUUUGCCGUUAACAGUAAGGAUAACAGGAAACAGAAAAGCUUAAUAAGAAAUGUAUCACUUUUAUAGCUCAUAAUUUCGUUAAUAAAGUUUUCAACAUUAUUCUGAAUCGUUUUUUGUUUAUUCAAAGUAAUAAAACUUCUUUUU